GAUGAAGAACGUAGCGAAAUGCGAUAAGUAAUGUGAAUUGCAGAAUUCAGUGAAUCAUCGAAUCUUUGAACGCACAUUGCGCCCCCUGGUAUUCCGAAGGGCAUGCCUGUUCGAGCGUCAUUAUCACCCCUCAAGCCCUCGGCUUGGUGUUGGACGGUUUGGUGGAGGCCCCCUCGGGGGCUCCUGCCCCUCCCAAAGACAAUGACGGCGGCCUCGUUGGACCCCCGGUACACUGAGUUCUUCACGGGACACGUAUCGGACACAUGGGUUUACGGGACACGGUCUGCCUCCCCUCAGGGAGAAUCUUUCUAAGGUUGACCUCGGAUCAGGUAGGGAUACCCGCUGAACUUAAGCAUAUCAAUAAGCGGAGGA
RNAcentral lists this unclassified non-coding RNA (372 nucleotides) under soil metagenome. Its description in RNAcentral is "partial contains 5.8S ribosomal RNA, internal transcribed spacer 2, and large subunit ribosomal RNA". The stretch from base 1 to 120 matches the Rfam family "5.8S ribosomal RNA", at positions 35 to 154 of the family's 154-position model. The record is from RNAcentral.